RNAcentral lists this ribosomal RNA (495 nucleotides) under uncultured bacterium. RNAcentral describes it as "partial 16S ribosomal RNA". It matches the Rfam family "Bacterial small subunit ribosomal RNA", at positions 28 to 507 of the family's 1533-position model. The record is from RNAcentral.
GACGAACGCUGGCGGCGUGCCUAAUACAUGCAAGUAGAACGCUGAAGGAGGAGCUUGCUUCUCCGGAUGGGUUGCGAACGGGUGAGUAACGCGUAGGUAACCUGCCUGGUAGCGGGGGAUAACUAUUGGAAACGAUAGCUAAUACCGCAUAACAGUAGAUGUUGCAUGACAUUUGCUUAAAAGGUGCAAUUGCAUCACUACCAGAUGGACCUGCGUUGUAUUAGCUAGUUGGUGAGGUAACGGCUCACCAAGGCGACGAUACAUAGCCGACCUGAGAGGGUGAUCGGCCACACUGGGACUGAGACACGGCCCAGACUCCUACGGGAGGCAGCAGUAGGGAAUCUUCGGCAAUGGACGGAAGUCUGACCGAGCAACGCCGCGUGAGUGAAGAAGGUUUUCGGAUCGUAAAGCUCUGUUGUAAGAGAAGAACGAGUGUGAGAGUGGAAAGUUCACACUGUGACGGUAUCUUACCAGAAAGGGACGGCUAACUACGUG